GCACUGGUGGCUCAAGGAGUAGGGCACUGGCUCCAUAUGCCAGAGGUGGUGGGUUCAAACCCAGCCCUGGUCA
RNAcentral lists this transfer RNA (73 nucleotides) under Otolemur garnettii (small-eared galago). It matches the Rfam family "tRNA". From Rfam's summary of the family: Transfer RNA (tRNA) molecules are approximately 80 nucleotides in length. Their secondary structure includes four short double-helical elements and three loops (D, anti-codon, and T loops). Lineage: Eukaryota; Metazoa; Chordata; Mammalia; Primates; Galagidae. The record is from Rfam by way of RNAcentral.